GGUGGUGAGGGCAAUGUGGCCGGUACAUCUGUCACCCACUGAUCGCCUGGGUUGGUUAGCUGAUCUGGCUGGCUAGAUGGGGGGGGGGCCCUCCCUGAAAUGCUGGGGCUGGGAACGACCGCCCCAAUAGAGGAGGAGGUUUCCACAGGCAAAGGUGUAUGUACCGUAACUGCACUCCCCUCCUAGACCCUCUGAACGAGCUGUCAGGGAUCCGGAUUGGAGUGACAGUCAUGCAAAAGCACAUCCUGCUGCACGGCCGGUCUCU
This 265-nucleotide small nuclear RNA is filed under the name Fukomys damarensis (Damara mole-rat). Its description in RNAcentral is "7SK RNA". It matches the Rfam family "7SK RNA". Rfam says of the family: 7SK was discovered as an abundant small nuclear RNA in the mid-70s but a possible function has only recently been suggested. Two independent studies have found that 7SK RNA binds the CDK9/cyclin T complex (known as elongation factor P-TEFb). P-TEFb activates transcription by phosphorylating the C-terminal domain of RNA polymerase II. Lineage: Eukaryota; Metazoa; Chordata; Mammalia; Rodentia; Bathyergidae. The record is from Rfam by way of RNAcentral.